RNAcentral lists this ribosomal RNA (3290 nucleotides) under Kokia drynarioides. Its description in RNAcentral is "eukaryotic LSU rRNA". It matches the Rfam family "Eukaryotic large subunit ribosomal RNA". The record is from RNAcentral. Lineage: Eukaryota; Viridiplantae; Streptophyta; Magnoliopsida; Malvales; Malvaceae.
CGCGACCUCAGGUCAGGCGGGAUUACCCGCUAAGUUUAAGCAUAUCAAUAAGUGGAGGAAAAGAAACUUACUAGGAUUCCCCUAGUAACGGCGANNAACUGAGAAAAACUCAGCUUGAGGAUCAGGUACCAUCGGUGUUUGAAUUAUAGUUUGAAGAAGCAUUCUCAGCGACGGACUAGGCUCAAUUCCAUUGGAAAUGGGCGUCGAAGAGGGUGAGAGCCCCGUCGUGCUCGGACCCUGACGCACCACAAGAUGCUGUCUACAAGUCGGGUUAUUUGGGAAUGCAUCCCUAAUCGGGCGGUAAAUUUCGUCCAAGGCUAGAUACAGGCAAGAGACUGAUAGCGAACAAGUAUUGUAAGGGAAUGAUGAAAAGGACUUUGAAAAGAGAGUCAAAGAGUGCUUGAAAUUAUCGGGAGGGACGCGGAUGGGGGUCGUCAAUAUGCCUCGAACGGGUGUGGAAUGGUGAGAGUCACUCUAUCGAUCGACUAAAGACAUGGAUCGAUGCGGGUUGUGCUGGCAACGCAAGCUAAGGCUCUUGGUACGCCUGUAGAGACGUCAUCGCCUUGAUCGUGAGAUCCAGCAUGCGUCGUCUCGAUGUGCUUAUGUACUUGCAUGCUCCUGGCAUCAGCCUAUGGGCUCCCCAUUCGGCUUGUCUUGAAACAUGAACUAAGGAGUUUGACAUGUGUAUGUGUCAACGGGCUAAAAAACCCGGAAGGCGUAAGAAAGCUGAUUGGCGAGAUCCCUUGCAGGUGCAUCGUCGACCGACCUUGUUCUUCUAAGAAGGGUUCGAGUGAGAGCAUGCCUGUCGGGACCUGAAAGAUGGUGAACUAUCACUGAAUGGGGCGAAGCUAGUGGAAACUUUGGUGUGGGCCUGCAGUGAUACUGACGUGCAAAUCGUUCAUCUGACUUGGGUAUAGGGCGAAAGACUAAUCGAACCGUUUAGUAACUGGUUCCCUCCGAAGUUUCCCUCAGGAUAGCUAGAGCCCUUAGCGAGUUCUAUAGGGUAAAGCCACUGAUUAGAGGUGUCGGGGGCGUAACACCCACGACCUAUUCUCAAACUUUAAAUAGGUAGGACAACAUGGCUACUUCGUUGAGCCCUGCCACGGAACCAAGAGCUAUAAGUGGGCCAUUUUUGGUAAGUAAAAUUGGCGAUGCAAGAUGAAUCGGAAGUCGAGUUACGGUGCCUAACUACGUGCUAACCUAGAACUCACAAAGGGUGUUGGUCGAUUAAGACAGUAGGACGGUGGUCAAGAAAGUCGAAAUCCGCUAAAGAGUGUGUAACAACUCACUUCCCGAAUCAACUAGCCACGAAAUUGGAUGACGCUUAAGCGUGCGACCUAUACCCGAUCAUUGGGCAAGGGUAAGGCCUCGAUGAGUAGGAGGGCAUAGCGAUCAUCGUAAAACCCGAGGAACGAGCCCGAGCAAAGCGGGCGACGGUGCUGAUCUUGGUGGUAGUAGCAAAUAUUCAAAUGAGAACUUUGAAGGCCAAAGAGAGGAAAGGUUCCAUGUGAAUGGCACUUGCACAAGGGUUGGUCGAUCCUAAGAGACGGGGGAAGCUCGUUCGAUAGCACAUUCAAUGCGAGCUUCGAAAGGGAAUCGGGUUAAAAUUCCUAAACCAAGACGCGGUGACUGACGACAACUUUAGGGAGUUCGAAGACAUCGACGAAGCCCCGGGAAGAGUUAUCUUUUCUGUUUAACGGCCUGUCCACCCUAGAAAUGGCUCAGCCAGAGGUAAGGUCCAGCAGCUGGAAGAGCAUCGUACAUCGCUUGGUGUCCGAUACACCUCCGACGACCCUUGAAAAUCCAAAGGAUCGAGUGCUGUCCGUGAUCGGUUAUACUCAUAACCGCAUCAGGUUUCCAAGGUGAACAACCUUUGGUCAAUGGAACAAUGUAAGAAAGGGAAGUCGGUAAAAUGGAUCCGUAACCUUGGGAAAAAGAUUGGCUUUGAGGGUUGGGCACGGGGGUCCCAGUCCCAAACCCGUUGGCUAUCAGUUCACUGCUCGAGCUACUCCUACAACGAGAGCAAGUCGUUGCGUGUCGGCCGGAGAAUGGACUAGGAACGACUCCCUCGGGGGCCUUCCCUACGUGAUAGACAAUUUAAUCAGAACUGGUAUGGAGAAGGGGAAUUAGACUGUUUAAUUAAAACAAAGCAUUUCGAUGGUCCCUGCAGAUGCUCACGCAAUGUGAUUCUUCCCAGUGCUCUAAAUGUCAAAGUGAAGAAAUUCAACCAAGCGCGGGUAAAUGACAGGUGUAACUAUGACUCUCUUAAGGUAGCCAAAUGCCUCGUCAUCUGAUUAGUGACGCGCAUGAAUAGAUUAACGAGAUUCCUAUUAUCCCUAUCUACUAUCCAGCGAAACCACAGCCAAGGGAACGAGCUGGGCAGAAUCAGUAGGGAAGGAAGACCUUGUUAAGCUUGACUCUUAUCCAAAUUUGUGAAAUGACUUGAGAGGUGUAGGAUAAGUGGGAGCUCUCGGGCGAAAUUGAAAUACCAUUACUUUAAAUGUUAUUUUACUUAUUCCGUGAAUCGGAGGUAGGGCAUGACCGCUUUUUUUGGACCCAAGGUCAGCUUCGGCCGAUCGAUACGGGCGUAAGACAUUGUCAGGUGAGGAGUUUGGCUAGGGUGGCACAUCUGUUAAAAGAUAACGCAAGUGUCCUAAGAUGAGCUAAACGAGAACAUAAAUCUCAUAUGGAACAAAAUGAUAAAAGCUCGUUUGAUUCUGAUUUCCAGUACGAAUACGAACUGUGAAAGCAUGGCCCUUUUAUCCUUUAAACCUUCAGAAUUUGAAGCUAGAGGUGUCAGAAAAGUUACCACAGCGAUAACUGGCUUCUAGCAGCCAAGCAUUCAUAGCGAUGUUACUUUUUGAUCCUUCGAUGUCGGCUCUUCCUAUCAUUAUGAAGUGGAAUUCACCAAGUGUUGGAUUGUUCACCCACUAAUAGGGUACAUGAGUUGGGUUUAGACUAUCGUUAAACAAAUUAGUUUUACCUACUGAUGGAAGCAUCGUAAUAGUAAUUCAACCUAGUACAAGAGGAACCGUUGAUUCACACAAUUGGUUAUCGCGCUUGUUUGAAAACACAGUGGCGCGAAGCUACCGUGUGCUGGAUUAUGACUGAAUGCCUCCUUGGAGCGUAAUUCCCACUGUGCGACAAGUAGAAUCCUUUGUAGAUGACUUAAAUAUGCGAUGGGGUAAUGGAAGUGGCAGAGUGGCCUUACUGCCACGAUCCACUGAGAUUCAGCCCUUUGUCGCUUCGAUUCAUCCCUCCUCGAUCCAAUAUCGUCUCCUCUUUUUGCA